Molecule: long non-coding RNA, 2858 nt
Organism: Brassica napus (rape)
Lineage: Eukaryota; Viridiplantae; Streptophyta; Magnoliopsida; Brassicales; Brassicaceae
Exons: 11
Source: RefSeq, a predicted model, not a curated record
UUAAAGAUGCAAAAUUUAGUUUUGACAAAAAAAAAGUCACAAAAAAAAAAACUUCUCUCUCGAGACAAAUUUCACUUCUUAUCUUCUCCAAUGUAUAUCUCCCUCUCACUUUCUCCAGAUCUUACUUCUCUUCUUCAACAAUUCUCACUUCUCCUCUUCUUUCAAAAAUCGUUUUGGGGUAUUGUGUUCUCUCUGUGUUUCAAUAAAUCUAGGGUUUCUCAUUCCCUUUCUUUCCUAGGGUCUGAGACACGAGAGACAGAAGAGAAGAGAGACAAGACAAAACGGAGAUAGAGAGGAGAGAGAGCUCCGGUCGUGUCUUGCUUCGUCUCCGAUAACCAGAGCUUGGGUUGGGUGGGGUCUUGCUUUGUCUCCGCCGUUUUUUCCUCAGCUUCAUAGAUCCGCCGUGUUCAAGUUCCGUCGCUGCUUGUGCCUUUUUCAGCACUCGUCUCAAGAGAAGAGUUUGAGUCAAGCGAUAAGAGAAGGCAGAAGAUGGAGACAAGGGAAGAGACAACCUGCCACUCGAGCUGGCAAUCUAAGAUACAGAAGAGAUGGAGACGGGGAGAAGAAGAAGAGCCAGAGAAAACAGAGGUGGAGUUUCAGAUUCAAGACGAGAGAAAACACAAGAGCAAGGAAGAAGAAGAUGAGAACGAAAAAGCGGCUGUAGGCAAGGAACUCAAGUAAUUGGAGAAUCUAGAGGCGUGUGUCUGCGAGAAGUUAUGAAUAUACACAAGAUCUUGAUUCUUAUGAGGAAGCUUUGUUGAUUUCUCAAGACCUGUUCGUUCAAUUGCUUUAAAGAAUCAGCUUUAUGCUGCUGUUGGUUCUCUGUUACUAACUACCAUCUUCUUCUUCUCUAGUAAGUAGUGGUCAUCUCAUUCUUCUUUGGAUAUAUUAAUCUUCAAUAGUCUUCUUGCCUUUUUGUUUGCGGUUUAGUAGUGUUUGAUUUUUUUCUGCAGUUAAUGAAGUGAAACAUAAAGUAGAAGAAGAAAAAGACAAACAUGGAGAUGAUGUUGAACUGAAUCUACUCUACAUUGUACAUUCUGACAUCUCAUCUCUUCUUCACCAGGUCCUUGCUUACUUCCUGCUCUUGUCCACACAAACCAUAAGAAUGCCUGCUUCUGGUGGAAUGGCGUGUGAAGAAGUCGGCGAGGAAGUACCUUUUAUUCUAUGAGCAGCAGCAAAGUCAGAAACUUCAAAGUGAUGGCUCUCCAAUCUGAUAACAUCACGAUCAAUAGAGUUGAGAGUCUUCUCAAAAGACACCAAACCUUUUACUGACCGGAUCACCGCUGAGUACAUCUGCUAUGGACGAGCACCUGGAGAAGAUACUGAAGUGAUUCUCUAGUAAGACUUUUCUUAAGUGUUGGUACUAAAUGAAGCUGAGAAGCUCUCACGAGAAGCACACUUGCCGUCUCAUCUUAUGCUGUAACAGUUCUGACAGUCCCUCAGCAAGAUGACCGAGUCUUCUCUCGUUUUCGUUUAGUAACAAGUUUAGUUUCUGAAUCUUUAAAUUUCAGCUAACACUAUUUUUGUGUCUGAAUUUGCAGGCAGAUGCAUACACCAAUGAAGUUUAUAUAUUGCGGCAUGAUCUCAGCAAUUGUAGGCGGUUUAAUACGUAUAACGCUUAUACAACCGUAGAAGAGAAAGCUCUAACUGCAUAAAACCUUAAGGUUUUUGGAACACCAACUCCGGAGAUUAUUAAGGUGCAUCCCCCUACGCUCUGUGUGAGAUACAUGCUAAGGCCAAGAAGAAAAUAGGAGCAAGGUUUUGAUUUAGUUCCCAUGUUUUCUAGUCCCUUUAUAUUUAGUUCUGAUUUUAUAAUGAUGUUUGUGUAAGAUUUGAUGAAAAUGUAGACGUGUUUGUGGUAUUGAUGUAAGUACAUUUUGUUUUAUUAAUGAAAUAUAAAUUGAAUAUUAUUUUAUUUAAAUAUAAUUAGCAACAAAACAUAUUUCUAUGAACAAGCUCUAAUAGCACAUAAUCGAUAAUAAAUAUAGCAUUGAUACAUCACUAUAACAAAACAUAUGAUAACGUUCAAAACAAAAGCUAUCAUAAAGUUUGACUAAUCAUAGCAAACUAAAAACAAUGCUAUUAUAUGUCUCCGAUAUAAUAGCAUUGUAAAAAAUGAUAUAAUAUAGGAGAGACCUAAGAUAGCUGGGGCAGACAUAGCGGGUUCAAUAACGCUAACAAUAGCAUAUGAUAGUUGUUUUCUUACGCUAAGAAUUGACAUUUUUUUGUAGUGUAUGGAUGUGCAGUAUUUUCUCACAAUUGUCAUUGAUGGAGAGCCUUUUCUACUUCACAAGGUGUUCGACGAGAUUCAGUACACGGUUUCUGAAAAGAAAAAAAAAUGAAUAACUGCUAUUACCAGAACGAGAUCGAGACCGAGAGUGGGAUUGUUUCAACGUGCCACAGCGCAUCACUUAAAGUGGGUCAGAUCAGAGAUGCGUAUUUGGCAGAACACAUCAGACCCGUUCCGGAGUCUGUACAAGAUUACGGCCUUGAUAGAGAUUUUGUUUGAUUACGUGCAUGUCGCGGAUGAUGGGAUCUACAGAUCCAUUGAUAUGUUUCUUAAGGCACACAGAACUUUUUCACAAGAAGCAUGCAACAGACUCCGUGUUUUAAAGGAGCAUGCCAUGGACAUUCAUGCCCAUCUUUUCUAAACCAGCUAGCAGGUAGCAAACAUUAUGACAAUAUACCAGGCCCGGGCUUGACCAAAACGUACGAUACAAACGUAUGGGGCCUAUUAUUUUUCUCAAAAUUUUAGGACCUAUUUUCUUCAAUGUCAUUACUUAUAAUUAUAUCAAUUUGAUAAUUUGUUAUGUGUAUAUAAAUGAUAGGAAAAGAAAGUUGUGGGACAUCACUAUAAU